Molecule: ribosomal RNA, 473 nt
Filed under: uncultured bacterium
Lineage: Bacteria
Description: bacterial SSU rRNA
Rfam family: Bacterial small subunit ribosomal RNA
Source: RNAcentral
ACUCCUACGGGAGGCAGCAGUAGGGAAUCUUCCACAAUGGGCGCAAGCCUGAUGGAGCAACACCGCGUGAGUAAAGAAGGGUUUCGGCUCGUAAAGCUCUGUUGUUAAAGAAGAACACGUAUGAGAGUAACUGUUCAUACGUUGACGGUAUUUAACCAGAAAGUCACGGCUAACUACGUGCCAGCAGCCGCGGUAAUACGUAGGUGGCAAGCGUUAUCCGGAUUUAUUGGGCGUAAAGAGAGUGCAGGCGGUUUUCUAAGUCUGAUGUGAAAGCCUUCGGCUUAACCGGAGAAGUGCAUCGGAAACUGGAUAACUUGAGUGCAGAAGAGGGUAGUGGAACUCCAUGUGUAGCGGUGGAAUGCGUAGAUAUAUGGAAGAACACCAGUGGCGAAGGCGGCUACCUGGUCUGCAACUGACGCUGAGACUCGAAAGCAUGGGUAGCGAACAGGAUUAGAUACCCUGGUAGGAUAGCG